UUAAAAUGCAGUCUGCACGCGAAGCAGUGGUCUCGUUACAGAUGCCUAUUGUAGCAAUAUAGCCACUGACUGAGUAUAACGGAGUGUUGAAAGAUAGAACGCAUAGAUGUGAGGAUAUUAUGUGAGACGGUCUGUCGUUUUGGUUGGGGUUAUUUUCGAAGACAGAAUAGCUAGCUGACUUACAGUUUUGUGCUAAAGACAUAAUUUUCUGAGUUAUCAGACCGGCUUCUAUUUUUCUAGCGCCAACGUAUCUGAUACCCUUACUACCCGGAUGUCUACUGCUUUGACAUUUUUACCAAUCUAAGAUGGAUGCAACGAAUUACAUUGGCUCUAUUUCUAUUCUCUUCUUAACACUGUGUCUGUUCGUUCAGAAAGGUCUUGGUAUCAGAUGUUAUACAUGUAAUUCAUACUAUCAUCAUGAAGAUUGCAUAAAUUUACCAAAAGAAUUACAUCAUUUAUAUGAAUUAAAUUGUGAUGAAUUACCAGGAAAUAAGAACUAUACAAGAUGUAGAAAAAUGCUGCAAACGUACAAUAAAGAAGUACGAAUUGUCAGGCAGUGUGCCACUAGCGGUGAUGCUGGUUGUAGAAGACGUAUUGGUACACACCAUUUUUCUAUAGAGUACUGUGAAUGUACUGAAGAUUAUUGUAAUUCGGCACAAAAACGAAUGACGUCACUACCGAUUCUUUUCGCAAUUAUUAUUCUAAUAUGGCGACUUCUUAUGUAGAAUUUUACGUUAAAGUAUUCCAAUUAGUUGUAGACAACCCAGUUGCUAAUGUGAAAGCUUUUAAGGACCUAGAGCUUUAUGUUUGUUUUUAUAGGAAACCAACUAGCAGGAUUUUAAGUUGAGUAAUGACUUGGACCUGAUGUUAAUUAUUGUAUGCAUUUAGGUUUCAGUGCUAGAUAAAACAGGAGUUUUCCUUCUUUAAGCCAUAGUUUUAUUUAAUAGCAUACGGACAUGUUUUAUUUAAAGCAUAGUUCAGCAAAUUUUCCAAGUUAGAUCGAUCAAGUUUCAGAACAAGUGGGUUAGUCAGUUUUGUAUGUAGCCUUAUAGAGUAGGCCCUGGAUAGUUUUAGGGAAAAUAAUGACCUAGGAAUAACGAUUGGGUUAUUUUACGUGAAAUUUUUAUAGAGUUCUCGAUAACCAAUUUGAGCAAGAUAUUUUAACCAAUUCCUUAAUAAGGUAUUGUCAUCUGCUGAUAAGAUCCAUAGGAUAUCCGGGAAGAAACGGCAUUAACCCACAAAGAACCUAACAUACCAUGAUGCGUAGGUAGGACCUACAUGUUCUUACCUGGAUGCUUGACAUUUGACCAACAUAUUUUUUUCCUUUUUUAAUUUAAUGAAGAAAUUUUUAAAAAAAUAUUAUAUGUUUUUAAGUAUUUUAAUGUGAACCGUUAUUUAUGUAUAUAAAUGAAAAUGAUAAUGUAAUCUAUAUAUAAAGAUUUUGUGCAUUGUUUUAUUUGAUAACCAUUUAAUCAGGUUUUCAUGUAGACUUUUAUCAGGUGAGACAAUACUAUGCAUCUCCCGAAAUGCUGUAUAUAUUUACUUAUAAUAAACAUAUAUGAAUAUAAAAUACAUUUAUUUAUCAUAACAGAAUAUACCGAGAACAUGCAAAUAUUGAUUAUUAUUAUGAUAAUAAUAAUAAAAAUAAUAACAUCAUACAUCAUGUAUAUAUAUUAUAACACAUCUUGUUAUAGUAAUAAUAAUGUUUUAAAUACUCAUAAUAUGCUUUAGGAUUUACCUUUUGUUCCAUAUUUUGUCAUUCAUAAAUUAAUAUUUUAUCAUUCAUAAACAACUAAGGAUAAAUAUGUUCGAUAACGAAUGGAUUUUUAGAUUCAUUAUUAGAAGUUUAUCCUCCUAGUUAUGUCCAUUUUAUUAAUUGUGAAUUAUUAUUUUAGUCAUAUAUUUUGCAUUUGCUAUGGUCUAAAGAGAAACAUCGCGACUAUAUAAAUUUUUAUGUUAUGUCAUAUGAAAAUAACCGUAAUGAAAUAUCUAAGGACAGACAACUCUUGAUAUCAAAGAUUCAAACCUUAGGCUGGAUUUGAGAAUGUACAUAAUUGGUCAUUAUACACUGAAAUUUAAUUGGCUGAAGAGUUUAUUCAUUUAUUUGUGUAUUAUAAACACGUUUCCCGCAAAAAUUAGUCCAAAUGAGCGGUCUUACUAAUCACCAACAAAACCCAGACAAGAGUGUUUUUUGUCAACAGAUUGUACGUGACAAGGAGUAGAGUCGCCUGUCCAACCUCAUGGAUUUUCUCCGGGUCCUUCGGUUUCCUCCCACUGUUAAAGACCCCUACGCGCAAGCGAAUUAUUGAAACAACACCCUCUCUCUCUCUCGCGCGCACCCUCUCUCUCUCCUACAAAAAGGAAAGAUAAAUGAGCAUAUAAAAUAUUUUGUUGAUGAUUAUUAAGACUCGCAAUAAGCCUAUAUUGAAAAACUAAUUGCAGCUAGACACACAUACACUAUUAAUGCAGUGCUACCACAGAGUUGUGACGUUAAAUAAAGCUAUAUUUUUAGACACUAAUAUAAGAUUAUGCAAAAGCCUUAAGUAAAUUAAUGGAUAAUUAGCAUUAGAUAUACUAUAGUUAUGGUUAUAGAGAAAUUGUAUUUUCGUUGGAUUAUUAUAAUAUAUUACCAUUGUUGCUUGUUUCACCAAGUUCUAUUUUCAUCACUCAGGUUCAAAUUAAAAUGUUGUGAUAUAUAAAAGAGGGUCCCUUAAAUUAAAAUAAAAUAACUACAUAGGCCCCGGUCAGUUUGAAGAAAACCGCUGAAUCCUGUAUAAUACCCGUAUAUUAUACACAUACACGAAGUAGUGAUUUUGAAUUCUCCCGUUGAUUGGCGUUUAUGCCAAAAAUGUAAUAUCCAUAUACAACUGUGUCAUAGUUUGUUUGAUUUAUAAUAUCAUAAUUCAUUUCCGGUCAGUCAGGCUGAAUCAGUGCAUGAUUUAGAUGACGAGGAGCCCUCCCAACCCCCGCGACUUGCGCACCCAUCUAAUCCCCUAUUCUUCUGACUAGAAAAAUUAGUGUACACCGUGGCCGGAAGCCCCUAGGUCUUGGGUAGCAGAAAAUAAGGAUAUGAAUUUUUACAUACAGUUUCAUCGAUCCACUAUUGAUUCAAAAUAGUGAGCUAAUUUAUUAGAUACCAAACAAACAUCUGGCACCAAUUUUGGAUAUACACAUGUUUUUGACUUUAAUGGCACUAAAAAAGUUGACCGGGGCUAUAAUAUGUUGUGUCUGUGAACGAUUUUACUCUAAAAACUAGGUUAUCUCCCUUAGCACACCUUCGCCCAGAUGGUUUGGUUCAAGUCAAUCGUGGAAAUAUAAAACACGUAGUGUGUUAUUGAACUUUUCGUAUAUUCCCAACCUUACCACGGCAUCGGUGUGGGGGUGUGGAGAUAAACAUUUCCACAUUGAAUCAGUUGCUUGGCAAAGACUCCAGAAUUCUAGUCGGUAAUAGACAGUAAUUGUAUUCUACAUGAUUGUGUGUACAGGAUAAUUACUCUUUAUAUCGUUAGUUAUUGUUACUUACUUUAUUAUUCAUUGAAUAUUUUACCAUUAAUUAUUGUUUAAUAGUCGAUGUUUAGAUCUGUUGUUAAUUCUUGAAUAGAUUAUCAGUUGGAUAAUUGUUACAUCGAACAAAUCUGUAUUUAGGCAUUGUUGAUAUAUAAUACAAUUUAAAGUGCUUAUUAUAAACAGGUAGCUAUGAAUUGUCUGUGUGAUCGAUCUUUCAUUUAGAAUAGAGUAGAUUAAUGAAUGUAGAUUAAUGUUCGAAAGAAAAUUAUAGUCAAAGUAAACCGCUUUCAUAAUUUCACUGUCAAAUUCAUGAACAAAUAUUGAUUAUUCACUCUCAAUAUGAGAGACCUAAAAAGAGUAAUAUUCACUAGUUCUUCGACAUUUAUUAUUAUUAUUAUACUAGUUUAAUACUUAUGAUGUCCACGAUGUAUCACCAUACAUAGUAUCAAUAUCUGCAAUAAACAGUUAUUAUA
Patella vulgata (common limpet) is the source of this 3980-nucleotide long non-coding RNA. RefSeq lists it as uncharacterized. The record is from RefSeq and is a predicted model, not a curated record. The transcript has 3 exons. Lineage: Eukaryota; Metazoa; Mollusca; Gastropoda; Patellidae.